RNAcentral lists this ribosomal RNA (253 nucleotides) under uncultured bacterium. RNAcentral's name for it is "partial 16S ribosomal RNA". It matches the Rfam family "Bacterial small subunit ribosomal RNA", at positions 524 to 776 of the family's 1533-position model. The record is from RNAcentral.
UACAGAGGUCUCAAGCGUUGUUCGGAUUCAUUGGGCGUAAAGGGUGCGUAGGCGGCGCGGUAAGUCGGGUGUGAAAUCUCGGGGCUUAACUCCGAAACUGCAUUCGAUACUGCCGUGCUUGAGGACUGGAGAGGAGACUGGAAUUCACGGUGUAGCAGUGAAAUGCGUAGAUAUCGUGAGGAACACCAGAGGCGAAGGCGGCUACCUGGACAAUUGCUGACGCUCAGGCACGAAAGCGUGGGGAGCAAAAGGG